This 463-nucleotide ribosomal RNA is filed under the name uncultured bacterium. RNAcentral's name for it is "bacterial SSU rRNA". It matches the Rfam family "Bacterial small subunit ribosomal RNA", at positions 338 to 795 of the family's 1533-position model. The record is from RNAcentral.
CCUACGGGACGCACCAGUGGGGAAUAUUGCACAAUGGGCGCAAGCCUGAUGCAGCCAUGCCGCGUAUGAAGAAGGCCUUCGGGUUGUAAAGUACUUUCAGCGGGGAGGAAGGUGUUGAGGUUAAUAACCUCAGCAAUUGACGUUACCCGCAGAAGAAGCACCGGCUAACUCCGUGCCAGCAGCCGCGGUAAUACGGAGGGUGCAAGCGUCAAUCGGAAUUACUGGGCGUAAAGCGCACGCAGGCGGUCUGUCAAGUCGGAUGUGAAAUCCCCGGGCUCAACCUGGGAACUGCAUUCGAAACUGGCAGGCUAGAGUCUUGUAGAGGGGGGUAGAAUUCCAGGCGUAGCGGUGAAAUGCGUAGAGAUCUGGAGGAAUACCGGUGGCGAAGGCGGCCCCCUGGACAAAGACUGACGCUCAGGUGCAAAAGCGUGGGGAGCAAACAGGAUUAGAUACCCGGGUAGUC